UCAUAUUAUAAAUAAGAUUAUUCUGUAAUUCAAUAAAUUAAAAGAUAACUGUCCGUGGUCUUUCUUUGAUCAGGACAAAAAAAAAAUUCAAUUACUUGCAAUUUCCCUUUUUAUUUCUCGUUUUUAUGUGCAAGUGUUUGGUUUGGGAUUAUCCACUAACCCAAAGAGUGAAGAGGCAGCAUAGGAGAAGGGAAGGGAACAAAUCAAAUAAAAGGGAUGUCUUAUUCUGUUCACGUGGCGCACUUUAGGGGGCUCAACAUUCAACUCAAUCCAGUGCCAAUAAUGCUGGAUUUGUGCAGUACUUUUAAUCAGUAGUAUUACCCCACCACCACCACCAGCACAAUUUCUUUUCUUUUUUUUCAGCCCAAGUUUUUUUUCUUCUUCUUUUUUUUUUUUCUGCUUGCAAAGCCUGGGUUCUCUCUUCUCUUUAUUAUGAUAUAUAUAUAUGCAACAAAAUGACAAGUAUAUCCAAUCAAUGAAUUAUGAGAUUGGGUUGUCACUGUGACACAUUUAAUUCUAUAUGUUAGGUAAACGGGCAUAUCUGCUGCUGCUUCUGCCAUUUUUUCUCUUCCUU
Molecule: long non-coding RNA, 574 nt
Filed under: Glycine max (soybean)
Lineage: Eukaryota; Viridiplantae; Streptophyta; Magnoliopsida; Fabales; Fabaceae
Description: long non-coding RNA (GMAX_LNC002368)
Source: RNAcentral